RNAcentral lists this long non-coding RNA (3591 nucleotides) under Prunus persica (peach). RNAcentral's name for it is "long non-coding RNA (PPER_LNC008499)". The record is from RNAcentral. Lineage: Eukaryota; Viridiplantae; Streptophyta; Magnoliopsida; Rosales; Rosaceae.
CUAAAUUUACAAUCAACUUCAUUCGUUGACUGACGGAUAUAGUACAUUUUGAAAAUCUUUUCACGGAAAACAAACCUAGAUGAUUUACAGGAGCUAAUAAUCAGGGCAAAGUGAUUUGAUAAUUUACAUGAUGCUGCUAACACACAAGGUUACUGACACCACAGCACGCCCAGCUUUUAUUAUACAUUUAAAGUUAACCAAAUGGAAAUGGAAUCACCACAUUCCUUGCUUGAUUUGUUUGCUUUGAAUUACCAUAUCUGACCUUUCAAGAUGCCAAGAUGGAGAAUUCAGAAUGCGAAGUUCACAAUAAUCAAAACAAAUAGCUCGAAUAUUAAUUUUUAUUCAAAUGUAAUGGGGGGUUUUGUUUUGUCUUCCACCAAUUGAGUCAUUUAUUUCAAAUUUUUGUACUUGGCAAACUUCAAACUAAGACAGUUCCUUCCAUGACAGUAACAGCUUUCCCUCGCAGCAGCACCCUUUGAUUCUGCUCAUCUAGAUGCAUGCUUACCGCUCCGCCUCGAGGGGAUGCCUGAAAGUGAACUAUAAUGUAUCAAACAUUCGAGGAGAACAAGUAAAGCUAUGAUAAGAUCAUAAAGAGAGAGAGAGAGAGAGAGAGAGAGAGAGAGAGAGAGAGAGAGAGAGUACCGCAUAUGCAAAAACAUCAGACUUUCCCAGUUUUUUGCACCAGUAUGGUGCUAAGGCACAAUGUGCGCUCCCACAAACAGGAUCCUGAAAGAUAUAAACAAGUAACACUAUUCAGCCUUGUAUCAAUUUUAGUUCACAAGUCGGAUAUAUUCCAGUUAUUCCUUGAGUUCAGCAUAACUGAAAACCGACAUAAACCAAACAGCAAAAGACACACGAAAAGGUUCCAAGCAGGUUAUUUUAAAUCCACCUUAGCAGAAAAAGAAAAAGGAGGUGGGAUUAUAAAUCCAGAUACAUAAUCUUCACAUUUAGCAUAGCAAAGCUAAAAGAAAUAUGCAACAAACUUGGGUUCCCAAUAUCAGGCACUUGAAAGAAACUUGAUCAGAAAAUAAAUUAAAGCUGCUUACCUCACCAAUCCCAUUUUUAGGGCAGAAGUAUCUGCUGUAAAAAUCAUAUUCAGACUCUGGAGGAGCAAUCCCUGUUACAAUCACUCCCCCAGACCCUGGACAUUUUUGGAUUGCAUCAAACUUUGGCUGUAAAUCUACAACAGCUUUUGCUGAUGGAAGUACAACCUGAAAAUUGAAACAAGUCCUCAUUUAAGAGUACAUCUAGACUCCAUAGAUAAGCCAAAAAAUAAAGGCCUAAUCCAUCAAAAACAAAAAGUAAGAAGCUUAUAUCGAUGGUAAGCAUAAUAUAUAGAGAUUUUCUGGAAGGGUUGCAGGAUUUACAAGUAGAUCGUCGGUGACAUAUGUUUUCCUUAUAUCAAUCAUAGAAGCACCAUCCAAGGCCUCGGAGAUCAAUGAAACCUCACUAGAGUUGAAUUCAUAAGAUGGGGCGGCAGGAAAAUUCAGUUCAAUGAAAUAGGACUUUUGUGCUUCACCAUUUUGAAUAUUAUUUGAAUCAUUGGCUGUCUUAACAUCUGGAACCUUUUUAGCUGUUAGGAUUCCAGAUAAUGUAGCAAACUCAAUAAAGUUGGAAUUUAUCAAACCAGACUUAAAGAGAGUGUAUGCAGCCGCUAAUGUUGCAUGACCACAAAGCUCAACCUGCAAAAGGGUAUCAAUUUUCCAAGCUUGAUUUACUUUUCUAAGAUAUCAAAUUUGCCAAAAGUAGAGCCUAGUAUGCAUACUCUACUUUAUGCAUCAGUGACAAAAUCAAGACAUCAAAUUAUCAAAUACCAGUUAAGCACAUCAAAUCGGGAAACUGGAGUUAAACAAGUUUACUUUUUUAAAUAAACCCAUACACGAAAAGGCCAAAAGGAACCAUCUUUUUUACUGAAUUCAUGAUUGUUGAAGAUUUUGAUACACUCAAAUCUUUUCCCUGAAUUUCACACUUCAAUUCAACCUUGUUAUGAAGAACUAAAAACAAACAAAACUGUAAAGAUCGAUCCUUUUUUUUUUUUUUUCUUUUUUAAUGAACGGGGGUAUAAAGAUCUAUCCUUUUGAUUUUGUGAAAUCAAACACUAAUUGAACAGAAGGUGAGCUAAGACCUCGUUGGAAGGCGUGAACCAUCUGAGACCAAACCUAGGAGCUGAAGUAGGCGUGGAAUCGGUGACCCGAGUCAGAUAACAAGUCUCGGAUAGAUUGAACUCGGAGGCCACGGCCUGCAACCACUUGUCAUCUUUAUCUUCUUCUAACAAGCAAACCGCUGCUGGGUUUCCCUUGAAAGCUGAUUCAGUGAAGGCAUCCACCUGCACACACACAACACAUCCAUUUCAACACUCAAAUUCUUAACAAUCUGCUUGAGCGCAACGCAUUACAUACAGAAGAGAGAGAUUUGAGUACCACGGAGUAUUUCACUGGUUUCUUUGCCAUGGAAGAUUGAAAUUUGAUUAUGCAGCAAAAUACAGCAGAAGCAAAGAGAGUCACUCAACUCAACAACAUCGCGGUCCGCCGGCGGCUGGUCCAAAUGUCAGUGUAUUUUUUUAGUUUCGAGUGGGGUCCACUUGAUUUCCCGACACCUAACCAUCACCUACUGUGAUUGUGGGGCCAGAACAUACCCUGUUCUUUGCCCCUUGCCCAAGCCUGAACAUAAUUUAUCAAACAUGAUGUACCAUCAUAUUUGAGCGAGUCGGUUUGGUUUGUGACUGUUUCUCUUCUGGCAAGAAAUUUUCAUAAGAAAUUCAAAAGCAUUGAGAGUACUUCAGAAAGCAUUUAUGUGACUCACUUCUAAACUUUUUUUUUUUUGUCAAACACUGUUACAAGCAUCAUAAAGUGUUUUUUUUUUUUUUUUUUUUCAAAACUACUUGUUCUAUUAAAAGUGUCGCUAUUUUCAUUUUUAAUCUUUCCUCUUGUAGUCUGCCGAAAAUAGUGCAUUUCUUCUUUGAUUUUAUAAUACUCUCAUUGGAGUAAUGGGUUAUAAGAGUACCUUCAUUAACCCUUUCUUUCUUUGCCAAUAAUAAUUUCUGAAGAAAAACAAAUUUGUAAAUUACAAUCACAUGUCCUAAAUUUACAAUCAACUUCAUUCGUUGACUGACGGAUAUAGUACAUUUUGAAAAUCUUUUCACAGAAAACAAACCUAGAUGAUUUACAGGAGCUAAUAAUCAGGGCAAAGUGAUUUGAUAAUUUACAUGAUGCUGCUAACACACAAGGUUACUGACACCACAGCACGCCCAGCUUUUAUUAUACAUUUAAAGUUAACCAAAUGGAAAUGGAAUCACCACAUUCCUUGCUUGGACAUCUUCAAGAAAUGGGAUAGAGUGAUAUUUGGAAGUUCAAUUGAACGCCCCAUUUUCUUUGUUAUCUUUGUCACCUUAAUGGCCUCCCCAUUCUCUGAUUCAAUAACCGUCACCGACACCAAGUUGUAGAACUGUUCAAAAACCAGUUUGUGCAUAUUAGAUUACUUCGAAGAAAGCUUUGAUAAGAAUUGAGUAACAAUUUUACUAACUUCUAGUAUCAGCUACUAUUUCUUUUAGGUGGCGACUGAUGCCAUGCAAACCGAGUAAUCCCGAUGUGC